Molecule: ribosomal RNA, 344 nt
Filed under: uncultured fungus
Lineage: Eukaryota; Fungi
Description: eukaryotic LSU rRNA
Rfam family: 5.8S ribosomal RNA (bases 1-71)
Source: RNAcentral
GUGAGUCAUCGAAUCUUUGAACGCACCUUGCGCUCCCUGGUAUUCCGGGGAGCAUGUCUGUUUGAGUGUCAUGAACUCUUCAACCCACCAAUUUCUUGUAGAUUGAAUGGUGUUUGGAUUUUGAACGCUGCUGGUCUUUUAGACGUAGUCUCGUUCGUAAUACAUUAGCAUCUCUAAUUCGAACUCGGAUUGACUCAGUGUAAUAGACUAUUCGCUGAGGACACUUUUAUUAGUGGCCGAAUGAGAUAAUUGUAGACGCUUCUAACCCCUAUAGUCAACUUUGUAUUAGACCUCAGAUCAGGCAGGAUUACCCGUCUGAACUUAAGCAUAUCAAUAAGCGGAGG